This 226-nucleotide ribosomal RNA is filed under the name uncultured bacterium. Its description in RNAcentral is "partial 16S ribosomal RNA". It matches the Rfam family "Bacterial small subunit ribosomal RNA", at positions 109 to 334 of the family's 1533-position model. The record is from RNAcentral.
AGUAACGCGUGAGGAACCUGCCUUUCAGAGGGGGACAACAGUUGGAAACGACUGCUAAUACCGCAUGACGUGUGAUGGGGGCAUCCCUGACACACCAAAGAUUUUAUCGCUGAAAGAUGGCCUCGCGUCUGAUUAGCUAGUUGGUGAGGUAACGGCCCACCAAGGCGACGAUCAGUAGCCGGACUGAGAGGUUGGCCGGCCACAUUGGGACUGAGAUACGGCCCAG